RNAcentral lists this non-coding RNA (23 nucleotides) under Cricetulus griseus (Chinese hamster). The record is from RNAcentral. Lineage: Eukaryota; Metazoa; Chordata; Mammalia; Rodentia; Cricetidae.
AAAAGCAUUUUUGGGGGUCUGAU